This 71-nucleotide transfer RNA is filed under the name Actinomycetota bacterium. RNAcentral's name for it is "tRNA-Gly". It matches the Rfam family "tRNA". Rfam says of the family: Transfer RNA (tRNA) molecules are approximately 80 nucleotides in length. Their secondary structure includes four short double-helical elements and three loops (D, anti-codon, and T loops). Further hydrogen bonds mediate the characteristic L-shaped molecular structure. tRNAs have two regions of fundamental functional importance: the anti-codon, which is responsible for specific mRNA codon recognition, and the 3' end, to which the tRNAs corresponding amino acid is attached (by aminoacyl-tRNA synthetases). tRNAs cope with the degeneracy of the genetic code in two manners: having more than one tRNA (with a specific anti-codon) for a particular amino acid; and 'wobble' base-pairing, i.e. permitting non-standard base-pairing at the 3rd anti-codon position. The record is from RNAcentral. RNAcentral also lists the same sequence under 1 other name. Lineage: Bacteria; Bacillati; Actinomycetota.
GCGGGUGUAGCUCAAUGGUAGAGCUCUAGCUUCCCAAGCUAGUGACGAGGGUUCGAUUCCCUUCACCCGCU